RNAcentral lists this ribosomal RNA (388 nucleotides) under Microcystis sp. BHU006. Its description in RNAcentral is "bacterial SSU rRNA". It matches the Rfam family "Bacterial small subunit ribosomal RNA", at positions 38 to 450 of the family's 1533-position model. Lineage: Bacteria; Bacillati; Cyanobacteriota; Cyanophyceae; Chroococcales; Microcystaceae. The record is from RNAcentral.
CGUGGGGGAGUGCCUAACACAUGCAAGUCGAACGGGAAUCUUCGGAUUCUAGUGGCGGACGGGUGAGUAACGCGUAAGAAUCUAACUUCAGGACGGGGACAACAGUUGGAAACGACUGCUAAUACCCGAUGUGCCGCAAGGUGAAAACUAAUUGGCCUGAAGAAGAGCUUGCGUCUGAUUAGCUAGUUGGUGGGGUAAGAGCCUACCAAGGCGACGAUCAGUAGCUGGUCUGAGAGGAUGAGCAGCCACACUGGGACUGAGACACGGCCCAGACUCCUACGGGAGGCAGCAGUGGGGAAUUUUCCGCAAUGGGCGAAAGCCUGAGGGACGAAGGCUAGGGGAGGGAGGAAGGUCUUUGGAUUGUAAACCUCUUUUCUCAAGGAAGAAG